UUGGGGAAUAACUCAGGGAAACUUGAGCUAAUACCGCAUAAUGCAGCGGCUCGACAUCGAGACAGUUGUUAAAGCGGGGGAUUGGAGCAAUCCGACCUCGCGCCUAAAGAGAAGCCUGCGGCAGAUUAGCUAGUUGGUAAGGUAAUGGCUUACCAAGGCUACGAUCUGUAACCGGCCUGAGAGGGCGGUCGGUCACACUGACACUGACAUACGGGUCAG
This 219-nucleotide ribosomal RNA is filed under the name uncultured bacterium. RNAcentral describes it as "partial 16S ribosomal RNA". It matches the Rfam family "Bacterial small subunit ribosomal RNA", at positions 136 to 334 of the family's 1533-position model. The record is from RNAcentral.